GGGGACUUAGCUCAGUGGUAGAGCGCUUGCCUAGCAAGCACAAGGCCCUGGGUUCAGUCCUCA
This is a non-coding RNA of Rattus norvegicus (Norway rat), 63 nucleotides long. NCBI's taxonomy places the organism in Eukaryota, Metazoa, Chordata, Mammalia, Rodentia, Muridae. The record is from Rfam.